Vicia villosa (hairy vetch) is the source of this 6128-nucleotide RNA transcript. RefSeq lists it as uncharacterized. The transcript is spliced from 5 exons. The record is from RefSeq and is a predicted model, not a curated record. Lineage: Eukaryota; Viridiplantae; Streptophyta; Magnoliopsida; Fabales; Fabaceae.
ACACUGUUUCAGUUUCUCUCUUCUUUUACUCUCAUAUCAUAUCGCUUCCCUCAUCUCUUACCUUCACCUUCAAUUUCAAACAAAGAAAACCUUCAGCCAUCGCGCCGCCAUGCCUCCGACGGCAGUCGCGGCAGCUCUAAACACAAAAACCAAUGCAGAGAUGAUGAAUCUCCACAGCGGCGAUGAAGAAGACGAUGGCGGCGGUACCGCACCUAGGAAAUGGGUGGAAGGAGCCGGAUCUGAAAGGGGUCGAGUGGAAAUCUCUUAGAGAAUCUCCAAAAAAUCAAGGAUUCUGCGAUGUGAAGAACGAAUCGAGCAACAAAAACCUUCAAUCGGCGGAAGUGACGGUGGUGAGCGGCGGUGGAAAGCUUUUCAGGAUGCUGCUGAGGUAUUUGUUCAUCUACUGUGCUCUUUCAGAGAAGAGUCUGGAGGUUGUUAUGCUCCAAAGAUAAGUUCUUUAGCAUACAUUUUUGCUUCUAAUAAUAGAAUUCUUACUCCAAUACAGAGGGAUUGGCAGAGUGAGCCAGAGAGAUGGCACCGCCUCUAUUUUGGACCCUUUGACGGGAUUCUUUGUAGCAGCUUAACUUGUCAAAGUUGUUUGUCCCAGGUAUAGGAGACUUUCUUCAGUGCAAUCUAACAAACUUUUCCUCGUGUAGUUGAUUGCAUGCUUACUCUCUGGUUCUUGUUUGUAAUUUUAGUCCGCCUUCAUAAGAAAACUAUGACACUCAAAUCUGCAUCUUUUGCUAAUAUGUAUAAUGUUUGAAAUCAUUCUAUAACUGGCCAUCAGGAGGACAGAGGACUAUUGUUCAGCUUGAUGUUUUUACUGACUUCCUGUUUUGGUUACUAUUGUUGUAUUUGGAGGUAAAAAGUAGUAGUGUAACAUUACAGCCACUUGCUGAAACAUCUUGGAAGAAUUAAUGCCGGACAUUUGAAAAUGGUCAGAAAUACGAAUAUAGGAAUUUGGCUAUAGGUUGGCUUGACUUGGGUUGGGUUCCUCCAUUUCCUCUCUUCGUUAAACCCUUUUCUCUCUUCCACCGUUUCUUCCUCUCUUCAUCUACGAGUCUCCUCCAUUAAACCCUAAUCUUCUCUGUUUCUCCCUAAACUUUCUCUGCAGUAAACCUAAUCAUAUCGAAACGAAGAACCGCACGUCGCCGGACAGGUCUUGUUUCUGUGCACCGGAGGUCCGGUCCUAUUAUUGUGCACAGCCGCUUGCAUUGUUGUGCACCGCCGAUUGCUACAAGUGUUGUUGUUUUGUUACGGUUGUAUUGAUGUGUGUGUUAAUGUAUUGUAGGGACCCGCAUGUGUUGCUGCCGUUGUGUUGUUGUGUUUCUGUCAUCUUCGUUUCUUCUUUUUCUGGUAAGUGUUUAGCCGCGACUCUGUAUGUAUAUGAGUGUGAAUGAAAUUUGUGUGACUCUAUAUGUAUGUACCGGUGAUUGAAUAUUACUUUCGAAUUCAUGGUUUGUAUGUUGGUUUCAACAAUUGAAUGUUGUAUAUAUUAGAUGUUAUGUCUGAAAAUUGAAAAGAAAAAGAGAAAUAACUAAGAGUGUGGUUAGAUUUAGCCUGUCAAGAUGUCAAGAAAACAAGAGUUGGAAUUGUUAGUUAUAUUAAUAGCAAAAUUAAAAUUGCAUUUUACAAACUCUGAUAACUGUUCUCAUCUUCUCAAUCUUUAGAGGUUGAAUUUGAAUGGUGUGUGUUAACAGAACAUCUUCAACUAUUAUACAAAUACUCAUGUACACAGAACUUUUCCAGCAGAACAAGCUCCCUCUGCAGAAACUUGUAUCAAAUUCAACACACUAUCCUUGUCAAAGAGUAUACAAGUGAGACGAUAUGUUUGUUGUAUUAAAAACAUAAUUUGUAGGCUUUGAAUAUUAAGUGUUUUCAGUUAGAUCUAACAAGUGAAUUGCAGUUAAAUUUGGACCUUGAUUGGAGACCUUGAAGCUGAUGUAGGAAAUGAAGUGUUAAAGGUUGAAAAAACAGCACAUGUUAAUAUUUAAUAUUAACUUAUAUGACUUUUGAAAAUUAAUUAACUCACCCUGUGCAGUUUGCUGCAAAGCCAUUAAAAGCGACAUUCGAUAACAAGUUUUUUAUUUUUUCUUAGUGAUAUUUAAUUAUUAAUCACCCUUUUGCAGUAUAAUACUUUAUGAAAGAGAUUGACUAAUUUACACAUAAAGUGCUGGUGUUAGACCCUUUGAUCUUUCAAGAUUGAUUGUUGGCUUUGAUCCAUGCACCGGGUCACCUUUUCUACACAAUUGGAAGAAAUCCAAGUUCAAUACGUGAGUUUUAAGAGAAGAACUCAAAGGAAACUUCUGGGCAUUGCUUGAAUGAGCAGGGUAUUGGAAAUGGCAUUGCUCUCGGUGCUGUUGUAACUACUCCUGAGAUUGCAAAGGCUUUGACUCCAAGAAAUUACUUUAACACCUUUGGUGGAAACCCUGUUUGUACAGCUGCAGGAUUGGCUGUUUUAAAAGUAAUAGAGAAGGAAAAGCUUCAAGAAAAUGCAUUUGUAGUGGGAUCCCAUUUGCAGCACAACCGAAGUGAUGUUCAACUUCAAGUCCUUCUCACUAGUUUUCUGUUAUGGGUUUUAGGAGGUGAUGUUGCUGGUUUCUUAGACUGAUGUGGUUAUAUUUUAUUGUAUGUUGUAUAGAUGACUGACAUUCUGCUUUUAGUUUUAAGGCUUGUUUGGAAUGGCCGAUUUGAACAUAUUUGUCCGACUAUUUGAAAGAGACUGGCAAUUGCGGAUUGUGAGGCUGAACUUGCAGCCAUCUGUUCAGCAAUGGGAGAGCGUCCGAUGCAUAUUAGACAGGUUGGCUGUUUUAAUAAUCUUAUCUGCGGAUUUUUAGGUGGUUUUUACUAUGGGAAAAUCAAGUUUCCUCCAGAAUAUCCAUAUAAACCUCUUGGAAUCAGGUGCUCUAUUGUUGUUAGAUGAUGACCUUGAGAAGCCUCGGUUUUCUGGGCGUGGCAGGAGACCUUUUUUUCUGUAGUGGUUAUUCCUAAAUAUGUAUAUUUAUAAUUUUUGCGAAUAUUUUAUACAAUUAUUCCUAAAUAGGUAUAUACAUGUUUUUGACGAAUAUUUUUUUAUAAUCAAGAAUUUUAUCAUAUUAAUAUGAUAUCAUAAUUGAAUACCAUAUAUAUUACAAAUUGUUUUCCUUUGCUCGAAGAACUUCAACUCGAGAGAAUUGCACUAUUCUGUUAUGAGAAUAACUUCAUUGAUGAAAUAAAGACUCUUUCGUUGAAACUUUCCAAACUCCGCAAGGUUAAUCUCUCUGCUCAUUCUUACAUGAACGACUAAUUGUUUUUCCACUUAUUCUACAACUGUAAGCAUUUCCAAGAGGCCAUCAUAUUGGACUAUUUUAAAAUAACUAUCGCUGGUAUCAUUUCUGUUCUCUGUGAGAGACCGAAAUUCACGUCUUUACACUUUAUCAAUAAAACAGACAAUUGUUCAAAUUUGUUUGCCAUUCUUAGAAACUGUCCUUCACUUACCAAUAUCAAAAUGGAAUACCCUUAUCCAUAUAUGCUAGAAGAGAUUGUGGAUAAUUUUAAUUCUUUAAUGGUUGUAAACCCUCAAUUAAAGUCUCUAUGUUUGGCUAGCAAUACACGGUUAAGUGAUGAAAGCGUCAUAGUCUUGGCUUCUAUUUUCCCUAAUUUGCAACUCCUUGAUUUAAGUUACUGUAAUAAGAUAUCUCAAGGUAUUUGUCAAGUUUUAAAGAGAUGUUGUAAAAUUAUGCAUUUGAACUUAGUCGGCUGUUCAAAAGUGAACCUACUUGGAAUGAGCUUUGAGGCUCCUAAAUUGGAGAUGUUGAACUUGUCACAUACAGAAGUUAAUGAUGCAGAACUUCAUGUUAUCUCAAAGAGUUGUCGUGGGCUUUUGCAACUGUUACUUCAAAAUUGUAUUUAUGUCUCAAAUACGGGAGUGAAACAUGUGGUAGAAAAUUGCACUCGGCUAAGAGAGAUUAGUUUGAAAGGUUUCUAUAAAGUGCAUCCUAAUGUUGUUCUCUCAAUGAUAUUAUCAAGGUCAUCAUUAAGAAAAAUAAUUGUUCCACCACGUUAUCCUUUCAACGGAGAGAGGUAACUCUUGAGUCAUGAAUGCCUUCUUUGUUAAUAUUAUGAAACAAUUAUGUUAAAAGUUUGAACUCUCAAAUGUAAAGUGUUUUUUAUUUUCAAAUUUACUUAUGUGGAAUAACUUCGAAAAAAAUUGUGUAUAUGCUCAUCUGUUUGUUCAUGAUAUACUAGAAUAGAGGAUAUAUGAUUAUGUUAUUAUAAGCUUCUUUUUGCUGUGUAUGCUACCAGUCAAUGUUGAUGGGUACAUACAUGCUUAUGGCUUUUUUUAUUUCCUAUUUGAAUUGAGUAAAUAGUGUUGGUCUAGUUAGAUAUAUUGCUCAAGUCUUUACAGUCAUUGCACUUAUGAAACUUCUAUAACCAAAAAAAGUUGAUCUUUGUCAACAUCAUUUGAAUAGGUAGGUAACCAGUUAAGGAUAAUCAAUUUGUGAAUAUCUUACCACAUUCUAAGGGUUAAUGGCUAGCAAUAAGGAAAAUUGCACUACAUCCAAUAAUAUUGGAGUAAACAUUUUGAGAGCUCAACAUAAACGUUCUGGGAGAUACAGAUUGGAAUGCGAAUUAUCUGAAACAGGCUGAUCAAGUUCCACCAAAUAUCAGAAAGACAACAAGGUUCCUCCAAAUUCUUGCCACUAACUAACAAAGCCCCAUGAGAUGCGCUAGACUUUCCUCCUCCGUCAAACAAAACACACAAGUUAAGUCUUUACUUUUCGACAAAAUUCCCCUCUUACACAAUUGGUCCUUAGUCGGAAUGCUAUUGAGAAGAAUCCUCCAUCCAAAGAUUUGCACUUUAGACAGAAUCAUAACCUUCCAUAAGUGAUUAAUAGCGUUCACCACAUCCGUGGUAAGAGGAGAAACAAUUAAAUUCUCGCUAAAAAGCUCGAAACAAGACCUUACCUAGAACUCCCCAUCGAUUUCUUUCAACCAUUCAAAAGUGUCCGACGCGUUUUUGUCCAACGCCAAAUCCUGAACCGUUUCCGCAAACUCCUGCCAUAUGCAGGGUAGAAUGCUGCUACUGUUAGCGAUAAGGGCUGUGAGGUUCCACCUUCAAACAGUCCCUGUCCGGCUUCCCACGGCCGCAACACAUGCGUGUUCAUCAACAGCUCUCAAGCCAUAUUCGGGAAAGCUGGGCCGAUUGGCGAUAUUGAGCGACAUAAUUUUCAAUGGAAAAUGAAAGAUUUGAGGGAGAAGUUUGUCGAGGUCGCAAGAGACCCGCGAGAAGUUAACGGAAGUGAGGUUGGUAAACCUUUGAACGAGACGAGGGAGGAAAGGUAGAGUACGUUGAUAGACCGUGAGAGAGAAUCGAAAACCGCUGGUGAUGGAGAGGAAUUGUUUUGAGACCAGUGAGAGACACCUCAAAUACUCGUCAUCGCAGUUGAGAAAUUUGAAGAUAAGUUCCCAACACUCAUCAAGUAAAUACGAAUCAGUUUGAGAAAACGAUUCUUGUGAAACUUUGACACAAUUUCUCUUAUUUUCAUAAUGUAGAAUUCUGCGUUUAAUUCUCAUUUGAAAUUAGGGUUUAGUUUAGGGUAAAACCUUUUUUUAUGUAAUCAACUAUUGAUUACUUUAAUCGGUAGCCUAUUUUUAUGGGUAGAAUUACAGAAAUGAUAUUCUUACACCAAAUCUUACACCUACACCGUAUGUACGGACGACACUGUUCAUGGACGGACGACAUUGUUCAUGUACGGACGGAUACUAUUCAUGUACGGACGUUUAUUUUUAAUACUUGGACGUACAUUAACCAAUUUCAUUACCGCAUUAACCAAGUUUUUACACUGCGUUAACCAAGUUUUUACACUACUAAAAAAUAUUUUUAAUACCUGGAUGUUGCAUUAACCAACUUUAUUACUGAAUUAACCAAGUUUUUAUACUGCAUUAACCAAGUUUGGUGACUGCUAAAAAUUAUUUUUAAUACCUGGAAGUUGCAUUAACCAACUUCAUUAUUGUAUUAACCAAGUUUUUACACUGCAUUAACCAAAUUUAGUGACUACUGUAAAAUACUGUUGGGUGUAAGUAUUGGUGUAACAAUUGGGUGUAUGAAUAGCAUUACUCGUAGAAUUAACAAUAAUAAAAAUUUA